GGAUUCGNAUGGGGGAACCCUGACGCAGCGACNCCGCGUGGAGGAUGAAGGUCUUCGGAUUGUAAACUCCUUUUGUCGGGGAAGAUAAUGACGGUACCCGAUGAAUAAGCCACGGCUAACUCUGUGCCAGCAGCCGCGGUAAGACAGAGGUGGCAAGCGUUGUUCGGAAUUACUGGGCUUAAAGGGCGCGUAGGCGGUGGUGCAAGUCUGGGGUGGAAGAUUAGGGCUUAACCCUAAAAUUGCCUUGGAAACUGUAUCACUUGAGUCAGCGAGGGGAUGGCGGAAUUCCAGGUGUAGCGGUGAAAUGCGUAGAUAUCUGGAGGAAGGCCGGUGGCGAAGGCGGCCAUCUGGCGCUGAACUGACGCUGAGGCGCGAAAGCGUGGGGAGCAAACAGGAUUAGAUACCCUGGUAGUCCACGCCCUAAACGGUGGGUACUAGGUGUAGGGCUCGCAAGGGUUCUGUGCCGUAGGGAAACCAUUAAGUACCCCGCCUGGGGAGUACGGCCGCAAGGUUGAAACUCAAAGAAAUUGACGGA
This 535-nucleotide ribosomal RNA is filed under the name uncultured bacterium. RNAcentral describes it as "bacterial SSU rRNA". It matches the Rfam family "Bacterial small subunit ribosomal RNA", at positions 358 to 917 of the family's 1533-position model. The record is from RNAcentral.